Molecule: long non-coding RNA, 561 nt
Organism: Mauremys reevesii (Reeves's turtle)
Lineage: Eukaryota; Metazoa; Chordata; Testudines; Geoemydidae
Exons: 2
Source: RefSeq, a predicted model, not a curated record
UAAGAGCUUUCCUAGGUUUAACUGGGUACCACAGGGAUUUCAUCCCUAAUUUUGCUUCUAUUGCAGGUCCUUUGUACCAACUUCUAAAGAAAGGUGUACAGUGGGAAUGGUCUGAGCAACACACGGAGGCAGUAUCCCAACUAAAACAGGCCAUUAUCAAGGCUCCGGUGUUGAUCACACCAAAUCCUGAAAUACCCUAUCAUCUGGAGGUAGCGGUCGCAGGAGCAACUUCCUCCUCAGGACUUAAGUGAUCAGACGAAAUCGCAACAACUGGAGCCCAGCAGUUUGCAACCAUGAAAUUGACGUUGACAUUUUUGACUUAUUACACCCUUAUUGUUGCUCUAAGGGUAGGACUAUGCCAAAAUCUUAAGUCUGAAACUGAACUAUUGCAACCCCAGGAAACCAGACGACCGGAUCGUACUCCGUUGUCUGAGCCCAAGCAACAGAACAUACCAACAAAGAAGGAACGGACUAUUAUACUUAAUCCAGAACUGGUCAACAACCCGAUUCAACAGGUUAAGGGAAUUCGGGGGGAGGAUGUUACUUUUGAAUAUCAAUUGG